Non-coding RNA from Triticum aestivum (bread wheat), 135 nucleotides. The record is from Rfam. Lineage: Eukaryota; Viridiplantae; Streptophyta; Magnoliopsida; Poales; Poaceae.
UAUAUAUUACCUCUGCCCCAAAUUAGUUGUCUUAGAUUUAUCUAAAUACGGAUGUACCUAGCACUAAAAAUUGUUUAGAUACAUCUGUAUCUAUACAAAUCUAAGACAACUAAUUCGGGAUGGAGGGAGUAAUGU